This 232-nucleotide ribosomal RNA is filed under the name uncultured bacterium. Its description in RNAcentral is "partial 16S ribosomal RNA". It matches the Rfam family "Bacterial small subunit ribosomal RNA", at positions 334 to 580 of the family's 1533-position model. The record is from RNAcentral.
UGCGCCUACGGGGGGCAGCAGUGGGGAAUAUUGCACAAUGGGGGAAACCCUGAUGCAGCAACGCCGCGUGAAGGAAGACGGUUUUCGGAUUGUAAACUUCUUUUCUUAGUGAAGAAGCAAGUGACGGUAGCUAAGGAAUAAGCAUCGGCUAACUACGUGCCAGCAGCCGCGGUAAUACGUAGGAUGCGAGCGUUAUCCGGAAUUACUGGGUGUAAAGGGAGCGCAGGCGGGA